GCUUACUUGGGCAGACCGUAUAUUAAAACUGUAACAAUACAGGGAAGAUUAGCAUGGCCGCUGAACAAGGAUGACACUGAAAUUCGUGAAGUGUUCCAUGUUAAA
Molecule: small nuclear RNA, 105 nt
Organism: Lutra lutra (Eurasian river otter)
Lineage: Eukaryota; Metazoa; Chordata; Mammalia; Carnivora; Mustelidae
Source: RefSeq, a predicted model, not a curated record